RNAcentral lists this transfer RNA (63 nucleotides) under Cambaroides schrenckii. Its description in RNAcentral is "tRNA-Ser". The record is from RNAcentral. Lineage: Eukaryota; Metazoa; Arthropoda; Malacostraca; Decapoda; Cambaridae.
GAAAAUUUAGUUUAUUCAAAAAUAAAUGUUUUGAAAACAUUAGAAGGGGGAUCCCAAUUUUUA